This 4782-nucleotide ribosomal RNA is filed under the name Triticum aestivum (bread wheat). RNAcentral's name for it is "partial small subunit ribosomal RNA". Lineage: Eukaryota; Viridiplantae; Streptophyta; Magnoliopsida; Poales; Poaceae. The record is from RNAcentral.
AUGAGUUCUUCCUCCCCUUCCUCCGACCCGGACUACCAGGUCGCCACCUCUGACCUCGACGAUGACGCCGCUACCGCCGUCCUACCUAAGCGCCCCGACGCCGAGGGCUUCGUCUCGUCCAUGCGCUCGCCGGACGACGUCGACGCCGUGUGCAAGAAAUACGGCAUCCCGAGGGACCACUACACCGCGCGCCCCGCCGGCGAUCUGCGCGCGUGCUCGCCCCCGCCGCCGGGGUGCGUCUGCGUGUACGCGCACGCGCUGGAGGCCGGGAUGCGCGUCCCGCUGCACCCCUUCUUCUGCGAGGCGCUCGCCCACUUCGGCAUCGCGCGGACGCAGCUCGCGCCCAACACGUGGCGCAUCAUGGCGGGCUUCCUCGUGCUCUGCCGCUCCGCCGGCGUGCCGCCGUCGCUCGCGGUGUUCCGGCGUUUCUUCGUGCUGUCCGUCCUCAACCACAGGCUCUUGUUGCCGAUGGAGCCGGAGGAGAACGCGUCCAGGGCUGUUGGUGGCCGCGUCGUCCGCGUACGGGCGCGACGGGAGCGCAGGCCAUGUAUGGCGUGGGACGUGGGAUGUGGGCGACUGGGAGCGCCGUAUAGAGCGGCGUGGCGUGCGUACGAGCGCACGUUCAAGGACAACUCCGGCUUGCGCUUCACGGGGUUGCCGGAUUCCAUCUGCGGCUGGAAGCGCGGGUUCUUCUUCCUCUCCUCGCCGACCCCGUGGCCCUGUCCCGUGGAGUGGGCCGAGCCGUCCAAGUGCUCCUUCGAGGACCCGGACGUGUUUGUGCGACAGCAACCUUGCCGCUGCCGUUGUAACUGCAGCAACCUUGCCGCUGCCGUUGUAACUGCUCGUACAAGUGCCAGCUCUCAAGGGAUAGAUUCCGCCGUCUACGACAUGAUGAAAACCAUGCUGGCGGAGAAGAUGGCCCGGCAAGCGUCGGCAUCGGCAAAGAAGGUGAAAACCGAGCCAGGGUCGUUGCCGUUGUGCGGGAAGAAAGGGAGCCUGGACGAGGCCAACGACGAGGAGGGUCGUCCGCCUUCUUCUGACGCUCCACCUGCCGCCCGUGGCUACUCGGUGCCCACCAGCGUGUGCUCGCCACUGCCGGGAGUCUCGCGGCAGCCACAAGACUUCGCCGACAGACACGGAGCACAUUGGGAGGCUGCACGGGAGCUGUUGCAGGAUGCCGUCGCCCCACCGCAGCAGCGUGUGUUUGCGGCCAACGAGCCAUCAGAUGUCGUCGCGUCGAGCUACGUAGCGAUUCUCCAGGCGGCGAAUUACAUGUCGUUCUCAUUGGACUACGCUCUGGAGCUGGAAGAGAAGCUGUUGGCGCGGGACGCGGAGAUCGCCGCGCUGCAGAAGCAGCUGAAGGUGCGGCAGAGACCUAGAUGCCGUUGGGGAAACGGCGGGACACUGAGCGGAUGGAAGAAGCCAUGGAGAAGAUCCUGGCCAUUCAGAUUGCUGCUCGACAUUGAUCCCCAUGGCGUCUGCCCAUGCCCGUCGAUUGUGCGCCCAACAGUGAUAGUGGUACGUGAUGUGCGUGCAAGGUCGUGUCCGAGGUGCCACCGGUCUAUCCUCUACCCUAGGGACUAUCGAAAACAAGUUGCUGCUGAUCGACUUGUCUGUGGGAAGGAAGACAGACGAGCCAUAUGCGCAAAAGAAAAGGAAUGCUUCGCCGGCCAGAGGAGAGGAAAGAUGAAAGUGUGCAGCCAAAAAACGCCGCUGCUCUUCUCUCCGUCUUCUCCUACGUCUACAUGCAUGGAUAAAAGGAAUGGGAACUACGUGCCUCUGCUCCUCUUCACCCCGCGGCAGGCCAAAAGACUGGCCAUGGCGCAUGAUCCUCGGGCAAUUGCUCAAGUCCAGCCACGCUGCAGGGGCGUGCUGUUGGAAAUAAUGCAUCGGUUCAGAGAAUUCCAAAGAGCAUCGGGAGAAAUAGACAACACAUCUUCAUCUCCUUCCUCACAUAUCACAAGUGCUGAGCCGCCGUCGGAACGAAGCCGGCCGUGCUGUCCGUCGUGCAACGGCAGCCCGGCGAGCGAGUUUUCUGGGCAGCGUCCGCGCGACCGCUCCUUCGACGUCCUCGACAUCAUCAUCUCCGGCGAGGGCUGCUUCGUCGACGUCCUCGACAACAUCGUCUCCGGCGACCACUGCUUCCUCGACGUCCUCGUCGACAUCGUCUCCGCCACCGCUGCUUCCUCUACGAGAUCGUCUCCGACAAACUCCAUCCACGAACACCAAGUGCACCGACGUCUAGACUCCGAUUCUCCAUCAGGUUUAUCUAGUGCUUUAGACUGUCUUUUUGUUCCUGCUGCUAGUGUUUUCAGCCAUGUCGUAAAACCAUUUGCCUGUUUAACCUGCUCUUGUACGUACCAGAAAACUCUAGACCGAUUUGUCAUGGAUGCUCAUGUUGCGGAACUGAUGAAACCUGAAAAGUUUGCCGGUGACAACUUCAAGAGAUGGCAGUCCAAGGUGCGUCACUACCUCCUGUCCAAGGGCCUGUGGUGGAUUAUCCCACAGGUUAGGCCGCUGACUCGUCAGCAGAGAGCAUCGGGAGAAAUAGACAACACAUCUUCAUCCCCUUCCUCACAUAUCACAAGUGCUGAGCGCCGUCGGAACGAAGCCGGCCGUGCUGUCCGUCGUGCAACGGCAGCCCGGCGAGCGCGUCCGCGCGACCGCUCCUUCGACGUCCUCGACAUCAUCAUCUUCGGCGAGGGCUGCUUCGUCGACGUCCUCGACAACAUCGUCUCCGGCGACCACUGCUUCCUCGACGUCCUCGUCGACAUCGUCUCCGCCACCGCUGCUUCCUCUACGAGAUCGUCUCCGACAAACUCCAUCCACGAACACCAAGUGCACCGACGUCUAGACUAUGGUUCUCGCUGGUUUCGUGAUGUUUUCCUUUGCAUGCUAAUUAUACAAGGAUGGGUGCUAUCAAUCUGCUCCUUUGUGAAUCUAUACUGCAUGCUUAUGAAGAAAACCAUUUGCCUGUUUAACCUGCUCUUGUACGUACUAGCAUAUGGGGCUCGUAGGCAUGUGUGUAUGCAGGAAGAUUUUCUGCAGACAUCCAGUGCAACUGUGGUGCGUGUGAUAUGUCUGCAAACGAAGCAAAAGAUUUGCUGCCCAUUCUCUUUGGGAUUGGAACGAGUCAUGACUUCACGACGGAGCAGCUCCGCGCGUGUGAAGGAAGGAGACGAGGCCCGCGCGCUGCCCAGUCGGGAUAAGUCUGUUUUGAACCGAGGCCGAGCUAUACACAAACAUGAGAGAGAUGCAAGUUGGAAAUACCAACUAUCAAGAGACGAGGCAUAUGUGGCAUGCCGCUGCUGUGCCUGUACAACAACAUAUGUGACGUGCCCCAACAAGAGCACACCAAAAUGGAUCCGCCGGAUCCGACACACCCGUCGCCAUGGCCAAGCUUGCCCGCGCACCCACCGUGCUAGGUGUCGCCUGGGACCCUGCCCUGAAGAACCGUCGUGCUCCGCGGCCCUGUCUACACCAUCGUGGCAACGCCGAGGACCUCCAAGACCGCCGCCCGCUUCCUUUUCUUCCUCGGGUCGCCGCCGUCGUUCACCAUCGAUUGUCGCGACACUGCAGCUACUAAGCGCUCGCCAGGCCUACGUGUGCCUCGCGCUCGUCUCACCAUCGCGCCCCCCCUCGAACUCGCUUUCAAGCUCGGCUCCUUGCUCCUGGGGCUCCAAAGAGCCCGUAGCGCUCGUGCUAACGGGCACGGCCCAGUUGGGCAGUGCCGCUGCCGUCGUCCCCCCGAGGCGCGCCGACGCGGAGGACUACGUCUCGUUUCUGUGCACGCAGGACGAGGUCGACGCGGUGUGCGAGAAAUACGGCGUCCCCAAGGAUCGCUACGCCGCGCGCCCCGCCGGCGACCUGCGCGCGAGCUCGUCCCCGCCGCCGGGCGCCGUCUGCGUGUACGUGGGCGCGCUGGAGGCCGGGUUGCGGGUCCCGCUGCACCCCUUCUUCCGCGAGGUGCUCGCCCACUUCGGCCUCGCCCCGACGCAGCUCGCGCCCAACGGCUGGCGCACCAUGGCGGGCUUCGUGGUGCUCUGCCACCUCGCCGGCGUGUCGCUGCCGCUGCUGGCCGUUUUUCGCCAUUUCUUCCGGCUGGUCGUCCUCAACCUUAAGCGCAGAGGCUGGUACUAUUUCCGAUCUAAAGACACCUCCGGCCUGCGCUUCACGGGUUUGCCGCAUGAGAUCAAGGAUUGGAAGCACGCGUUCUUCUUCCUCUCGUCGCCGGCGCCUUGGCCUUGCUCUGUGGAGUGGGGCGAGCCGUCCAAGAUUUCGCUCAUGGACCCCGUGCUCUCUGCCGAGGACAAGAAAUUGGCCGCGAAGCUGCUGCGCGCUCACGGAGGCUCCCCCGUUGAUCUGGGGGCGUAUCUCUGCAGCAGCAAUCUUUCCGCCGCCAUGAUAUCUCCGGUGCCGGAGUCGCUGUCACCACAGCCACCGCCUUCUUAUACUCCUGCUGCUACCGAUUCCAAAGGGAUGGAUCCCUCCGUCUACGACAUGAUGAAAACCAUGCUGGCGGAGAAGAUGGCCCGGCAAGCGUCGGCAUCGGCAAAGAAGGUGAAAACAGAGCCAGGGUCAUCGCCGUUGUGCGGGAAGAAAGGUAGCCCGGACGAGGCCAACGGCGAGGAGGGCCGUCCCCCUUCUUCGGACGCUCCACCUGCCGCCCGUGGCCACUUGGUGCCCACCAGCGUGUGUUCGCCACUGCCGGGAAUCUUGCGGGAGCCACGAGACUUCGCCGACAUCACCAUUCAAAUUUCUCAAUAUCUUUCCAUAAACUAA